This 78-nucleotide non-coding RNA is filed under the name unclassified sequences. The record is from Rfam.
CUAACAUCGCAGGGGUUGUACUGCUUGACCUGCUAGUCGAGUUUCGAAGGAGAACGGUGUCAGAAACCCGAAUGGUUU